Molecule: long non-coding RNA, 227 nt
Filed under: Sorghum bicolor (sorghum)
Lineage: Eukaryota; Viridiplantae; Streptophyta; Magnoliopsida; Poales; Poaceae
Description: long non-coding RNA (SBIC_LNC001243)
Source: RNAcentral
CACAACCAACAAGCACAAAUAUAUAUUUUGAAUAAGAGGGUGGUUUACAACAUAGUAAUGGAGGAAAUAAGCGUACUACAAUACGGUUCAUCUACUUUGGGGGGGUUGAACAAAAGUGAAGUAAACUUCACUUCCCCAAGACAUAAGGAGGAACUAGGUGCUACUAUUCUUCAACUUCUUCGGACAGAACGGCUUCAUUCCCUUGGUGUAGAGGUGGAUCAUGCUUC